Molecule: ribosomal RNA, 451 nt
Filed under: uncultured bacterium
Lineage: Bacteria
Description: partial 16S ribosomal RNA
Rfam family: Bacterial small subunit ribosomal RNA
Source: RNAcentral
AACGAACGCUGGCGGCAUGCCUAAUACAUGCAAGUCGAACGACCGGAGCAAUCCGGGAGUGGCGAACGGGUGAGUAACACGUGGGAACCUGCCCAGCGGUGGGGAACAACCGAGGGAAACUUCGGCUAAUACCGCAUACGCCCUUACGGGGAAAGAUUUAUCGCCGUUGGAGGGGCCCGCGUCCGAUUAGCUAGUUGGUGAGGUAACGGCUCACCAAGGCGACGAUCGGUAACUGGUCUGAGAGGACGACCAGUCACACUGGGACUGAGACACGGCCCAGACUCCUACGGGAGGCAGCAGUAGGGAAUAUUGGACAAUGGGGGAAACCCUGAUCCAGCAAUGCCGCGUGAGUGAUGAAGGCCUUAGGGUUGUAAAGCUCUUUCGCCCACGACGAUGAUGACGGUAGUGGGAGAAGAAGCCCCGGCUAACUUCGUGCCAGCCGCCGCCGUAA